UACGUAGGGCGCAAGCGUUAUCCGGAAUUAUUGGGCGUAAAGGGCGUGUAGGCGGACCUAUAAGUCUAUUCUGAAAGCUCCUGGCUAAACUGGGAGAGGCGAAUGGAGACUGUAGAUCUAGAGUGAGGAAGAGGAAAAGUGGAAUUCCGCGUGUAGUGGUGAAAUGCGUAGAGAUGCGGAGGAACACCAGUGGCGAAAGCGACUUUCUGGUCCUUAACUGACGCUGAGGCGCGAAAGCAUGGGGAGCGAACGGGG
Molecule: ribosomal RNA, 255 nt
Filed under: uncultured bacterium
Lineage: Bacteria
Description: partial 16S ribosomal RNA
Rfam family: Bacterial small subunit ribosomal RNA
Source: RNAcentral